CGCCUCACGGCGGCGCGGCGACGAUGGCGUCUCCGUUCAGCGGGGUGCUGCAGCUGACGGACCUGGAUGACUACAUCGGGCCCUCGCAGGAAUGUGUCAAACCUGUAAAGGUGGAAAAAAAGCCUGGGAAAGCAGCAGCUAAGAUCAAAAUCGAAGCCGAUGGGAGCUAUUUUCAGAUCACUCAGGAUGGAGGAGCACAGAAACUGGAGAAGGCUAAAAUUACUCUGAACGACUGUUUAGCUUGCAGUGGCUGCAUUACAUCAGCAGAAAGUGUCUUAAUCACUCAACAGAGCCAUGAAGAGUUCUACAAAACUCUAUCUUUUAACAAGACUGCAGCUCCCAGUGAACAGAAGUUGGUGGUGGUUUCUGUUUCACCACAGUCCAGGGCUUCAUUAGCUGCAAAAUGUAAAAUGAGUGUUCUGGAAACAGCAAAGAAGUUGACUGCGUUCUUAAAGAGUCAAGGUGUGCACUACGUAUUUGACACAACUUUCUCAAGAAACUUCAGCCUGCUGGAGAGCCAAAAAGAGUUUGUAAAACGCUUUCGAAAGCAAUCUGAAGACAAAAAGGCUUUGCCAAUGCUAGCUUCUGCCUGUCCAGGUUGGAUCUGCUAUGCAGAGAAAACCCAUGGCAGUUUCAUCAUUCCUUACAUCAGCACCACUAAGUCUCCACAGCAGAUCAUGGGCUCCUUGAUAAAGGGCCAUUUUGCAGAGCAGCAGCACUUAACACCUAAUAAGAUAUACCACGUAACAGUGAUGCCCUGCUAUGACAAGAAGCUGGAGGCUUCAAGGCCAGACUUCUUCAACCAAGAGUUCCAGACCCGCGAUGUGGAUUGUGUGAUCACCACAGGAGAAGUGCUGAAGUUGUUGGAACAAGAAAAAGUGUCUCUCUCAGAUGUAGAACCUGCUCCUUUGGAUUCCAUGUUUAAUAGUGCCAGAGAGGAGGAACUCACUGGCCACUCGGGAGGUGGCUCUGGUGGCUAUUUGGAGCACAUAUACAAGUAUGCAGCCAAGGAACUCUUUGGCAUUGAAGUGGAUACAAUUCAGUACAAGCCUUUAAAAAACAAGGACUUCCAAGAGGUGACACUGGAGAAGGAUGGAGCAGUUCUGCUCCAGUUUGCUCUGGCAUACGGGUUUCGAAACAUACAAAACUUAGUGCAGAAGUUGAAGCGGGGGAAGUCACCCUAUCACUACGUGGAAGUCAUGGCCUGCCCAUCAGGUUGUUUAAAUGGAGGCGGCCAGAUCAAAGUGGAAGGUGAACCUAGCAAGGACUGGCUUCAGCAAGUUGAGAAGCUGUAUGAGUCCCUUAAGACUGAAAUUCCAGAGGAGAACCGGACUGUAACUGCCCUGUAUGAGCAGUGGCUGGGUGGCACUGAGUCUGAAAAGGCAGGGAAAGCUCUGCAUACAGAAUACCAUGCCGUGGAAAAAGCAAGCACUGGAUUUAACAUCAAGUGGUGAAGGCUGAUGCUGGAAGCAGACUGUGAAGCCUGCAUAUUCUUAGUGCCUUUUAAGUUGAUUCUAUUUACGAUUCUCAAGAGACAGCCACAGCUCUGUGCCAUCGUUUCUGUGCCAUCACUGGGGAAUUGCAGUUUCUCACUCUCAGUCAGGGAGAAGUUACUGCUAUGUGGGGAAGAACGACUGCAGGAAGUAAAAUGGAUGAAAACUGAAUGCAAAGCAGCCACUUUGCUUUGCUCUUUCAGAACAGACAUGGAGCUGGUUACUGCACGUAGCCCAGACUCAAACCUUGGCCAGGCCCUCUUCAGAGAUAACCCUCACUGUUCCUGCAGACCUUGUGCUUAGGGCUGUCAAGAAGCAAAACUGUCAGACCUUAACCUGCCUCAUUUAACAGCUUCUCUGGCAGCCCUUCCCUGCAUCCUCCUUCAAUCUUCAUUAAAAAUGAGCCAACAAUGUAAAAGAUAAUUGUAAUGGUUUUAAUUAAAGGCUUUACAUACUUCA
Molecule: RNA transcript, 1952 nt
Organism: Centrocercus urophasianus (Greater sage-grouse)
Lineage: Eukaryota; Metazoa; Chordata; Aves; Galliformes; Phasianidae
Gene: CIAO3
Gene name: cytosolic iron-sulfur assembly component 3
Exons: 12
Source: RefSeq, a predicted model, not a curated record